This 497-nucleotide ribosomal RNA is filed under the name Cormocephalus aurantiipes. Its description in RNAcentral is "partial 16S ribosomal RNA". It matches the Rfam family "Bacterial large subunit ribosomal RNA", at positions 1830 to 2610 of the family's 2925-position model. Lineage: Eukaryota; Metazoa; Arthropoda; Chilopoda; Scolopendromorpha; Scolopendridae. The record is from RNAcentral.
GUCUUUAUGCUUAUUAUAUAAGGUUAGUCCUGCUCUAUGUAUAAUUAAUGGCCGCAGUAUCUUGACUGUGCUAAGGUAGCGUAAUAAAUAGGUUAUUAAUUGUAAUCCAGUAUGAAAGGUUUGACGUAAGAAUAACUGUCUUUUUAUUUAAUUGAAAUUAAAUUAUCAGUGAAAAUGCUGGUAUUUUUUGAAAAGACGAGAAGACCCUAUUAAGUUUUACAUUUAUAUUUAGUUUUUAGUAUUUUAAUAAUUUAUUAAUGUUUAAUUGGGGCGAUUAUUAAUAUGUAAACAUUAUAUUGAUUAUUUUAAUAAAAGUUAGAGAACCAUAAAUUAUGGCUAUUAGAACAAAUUACUAUAGGGUUAACAGCAUAAUUAUAUUGUUGAGACCUUAUUAAUAAUAUAGAUUAUGACCUCGAUGUUGGAUCAAGAAUGCCUAAUAGGUGCAGAAGCUUAUUAAGGGGGUCUGUUCGACCCUUAAAAUCUUACGUGAUCUGAGU